This 1169-nucleotide ribosomal RNA is filed under the name Pantoea sp. GD03673. RNAcentral's name for it is "partial 23S ribosomal RNA". It matches the Rfam family "Bacterial large subunit ribosomal RNA", at positions 1 to 1212 of the family's 2925-position model. Lineage: Bacteria; Pseudomonadati; Pseudomonadota; Gammaproteobacteria; Enterobacterales; Erwiniaceae. The record is from RNAcentral.
GGUUAAGCGACUAAGCGUACACGGUGGAUGCCCAGGCAGUCAGAGGCGAUGAAGGACGUGCUAAUCUGCGUAAAGCGACGGUAAGGUGAUAUGAACCGCUACAGCCGUCGAUGUCCGAAUGGGGAAACCCGGUGCACUCUGUGCAUCAUUGCAGCAUGAAUACAUAGUGCUGCAAGGCGAACCGGGGGAACUGAAACAUCUAAGUACCCCGAGGAAAAGAAAUCAACCGAGAUUCCCCCAGUAGCGGCGAGCGAACGGGGAGCAGCCCAGAGCCUGAAUCAGUUUGUGUGUUAGUGGAAGCGUCUGGAAAGUCGCAGGGUACAGGGUGAUACUCCCGUACACAAAAACACACAUGCUGUGAGCUCGAUGAGUAAGGCGGGACACGUGGUAUCCUGUCUGAAUAUGGGGGGACCAUCCUCCAAGGCUAAAUACUCCUGACUGACCGAUAGUGAACCAGUACCGUGAGGGAAAGGCGAAAAGAACCCCGGCGAGGGGAGUGAAACAGAACCUGAAACCGUGUACGUACAAGCAGUGGGAGCCUCUUUUAUGGGGUGACUGCGUACCUUUUGUAUAAUGGGUCAGCGACUUAUAUUCUGUAGCAAGGUUAACCGUAUAGGGGAGCCGCAGGGAAACCGAGUCUUAACUGGGCGUUAAGUUGCAGGGUAUAGACCCGAAACCCGGUGAUCUAGCCAUGGGCAGGUUGAAGGUUGGGUAACACUAACUGGAGGACCGAACCGACUAAUGUUGAAAAAUUAGCGGAUGACCUGUGGCUGGGGGUGAAAGGCCAAUCAAACCGGGAGAUAGCUGGUUCUCCCCGAAAGCUAUUUAGGUAGCGCCUCGUGAACUCAUCUCCGGGGGUAGAGCACUGUUUCGGCUAGGGGGCCAUCCCGGCUUACCAACCCGAUGCAAACUGCGAAUACCGGAGAAUGUUAUCACGGGAGACACACGGCGGGUGCUAACGUCCGUCGUGAAGAGGGAAACAACCCAGACCGCCAGCUAAGGUCCCAAAGUCAUGGUUAAGUGGGAAACGAUGUGGGAAGGCACAGACAGCCAGGAUGUUGGCUUAGAAGCAGCCAUCAUUUAAAGAAAGCGUAAUAGCUCACUGGUCGAGUCGGCCUGCGCGGAAGAUGUAACGGGGCUAAACCAUGCACCGAAGCUGCGGCAGCGAC